UCCAUGAGAUGGCCUUGUGCAAUAGGACAAAGAAUAUAAUUUGGAUCUGUACAUCAAAAGCUGAGACCUCCUGCUUAGAAGUUUCAGAUUACUUCAUCAAAGGAAGAAUAGUUCAGUUCUUGAGACACGUGAAUCACUAUUUUGAGGCACAGAGGAGAAACACUUGAUGCUUCAAAAGGACCUGCGAGGUCUUGGGAGAUAGUGAUAGAGCGUGUUUGCUUUGGAUCCUUUUGUUUCUCCCUGAAAGGCAGGAAAAGUAUCUAUUUCACUACUGGUCAGCUUGGCAGCCAGAAGAAUCCAUGAAGUGCUGAGGCUGUAGAAUGAAGAGGCAGAGAGCUGGAAGAAUUAACCCCUUCCUGUCACUACAGAGGUUUUCUGCUCCCAGAGUACUAGUAAGAGAUGAAGAGGUAUUUAUUAUUGAAAUACACAGAUAUUGAAAAAACAAAUUCUCGAACCCAGCAGCAGCCUAUUUCCAACAGAUGCAACUCAAUGACUUUGUUGGGUUUUGUCCCUUCAAAAAGCUAUUUCUGCAUGCUGUGGGAGUGCUUCAGGAAGGAAAGUAAUGAAGCUAUUGUAAAUAUAAAUGCCUAAAUGUGAAUAUGAAUUAAGGUGUGAUUGAAUAAGUUGUUUUUUCUAAAUCAAUAAUGUAGAAACAUGCUUGCUUAUUGGCCACUUUCUGUUUGCACUCUACACAGGAAAGCAAAAACCAACAGCCCAAAACCAAACAAAAAAGCAAACAGAAAGCUGUCCGUGUUCAGUGUUGAAACAUAAGUUGCACAUGUUAAAAAAAUAAAUAAUGAAGGUUUCCACAGCAA
This is a long non-coding RNA of Harpia harpyja (harpy eagle), 815 nucleotides long. RefSeq lists it as uncharacterized. The transcript is spliced from 2 exons. The record is from RefSeq and is a predicted model, not a curated record. NCBI's taxonomy places the organism in Eukaryota, Metazoa, Chordata, Aves, Accipitriformes, Accipitridae.